Molecule: ribosomal RNA, 614 nt
Filed under: uncultured bacterium
Lineage: Bacteria
Description: bacterial SSU rRNA
Rfam family: Bacterial small subunit ribosomal RNA
Source: RNAcentral
GCGUCUGAUUAGCUUGUUGGCGGGGUAACGGCCCACCAAGGCGACGAUCAGUAGGGGUUCUGAGAGGAAGGUCCCCCACAUUGGAACUGAGACACGGUCCAAACUCCUACGGGAGGCAGCAGUGAGGAAUAUUGGUCAAUGGGCGAGAGCCUGAACCAGCCAAGUAGCGUGCAGGAUGACGGCCCUAUGGGUUGUAAACUGCUUUUAUAAGGGAAUAAAGUGAGUCUCGUGAGACUUUUUGCAUGUACCUUAUGAAUAAGGACCGGCUAAUUCCGUGCCAGCAGCCGCGGUAAUACGGAAGGUCCGGGCGUUAUCCGGAUUUAUUGGGUUUAAAGGGAGCGUAGGCCGGAGAUUAAGCGUGUUGUGAAAUGUAGACGCUCAACGUCUGCACUGCAGCGCGAACUGGUUUCCUUGAGUACGCACAAAGUGGGCGGAAUUCGUGGUGUAGCGGUGAAAUGCUUAGAUAUCACGAAGAACUCCGAUUGCGAAGGCAGCUCACUGGAGCGCAACUGACGCUGAAGCUCGAAAGUGCGGGUAUCGAACAGGAUUAGAUACCCUGGUAGUCCGCACGGUAAACGAUGGAUGCCCGCUGUUGGUCUGAAUAGGUCAGCGGC